Molecule: RNA transcript, 951 nt
Organism: Mastomys coucha (southern multimammate mouse)
Lineage: Eukaryota; Metazoa; Chordata; Mammalia; Rodentia; Muridae
Gene name: olfactory receptor 145-like
Exons: 1
Source: RefSeq, a predicted model, not a curated record
AUGAUUUGAGGAGGAAUGGCCUCUGGCAAUGAUUCCACCACAGUGAAGGAGUUUAUUCUGCUGGGCUUGACACAGCAACCAGAGCUCCAGCUGCCAUUCUUCUUCCUUUUCUUGGGAAUCUAUGUGGUCUCCAUGGUGGGGAACCUGGGCUUGAUGGUUCUGAUUGUUUUGAAUCCUCACCUGCACACCCCCAUGUACUACUUUCUCUUCAACCUUUCCUUCAUUGAUUUCUGCUACUCCUCUGUCAUAACCCCCAAAAUGCUCGUGAGUUUUGUGAAGCAGAACAUCAUCUCUCAUGCUGAGUGCAUGACUCAACUCUUUUUCUUUGCCUUCUUUGUUAUUGAUGAAUGUUGUAUUUUGACAGCGAUGGCCUAUGACAGAUAUGUGGCCAUAUGUAAGCCAUUGCUUUAUAAGGUUACCAUGUCCUAUCAGGUCUGCUUCAUGAUGACAAUGAGUGUGUACACCAUGGGGUUUGUGGGUGCCAUAGCCCACACAAUUUGCAUGCUGAGACUCAAUUUCUGUGAUGGCAACAUCAUUAAUCACUACAUGUGUGACAUACCUCCUCUCCUGAAGCUCUCCUGCACAAACACCUCUGUCAAUGAGCUGGUGGUUUUCAUCGUUGUGGGUGUCAAUGUGAUAGGACCUACAUUGAUCAUCUUCACUUCUUAUACUUUAAUCAUUUUCAAUAUUUCCCAUAUCCGUUCCACUGAGGGCAGAUCCAAGGCUAUUAGUACCUGUAGCUCCCACAUAAUAGCUGUUUCUAUUUUCUUUGGAGCCUCGGCAUUCAUGUAUCUUAAGCCUUCUCCUGUUGGAUCUGUGGGUGAAGAUAAAGUAUCCACUGUUUUCUACACCAUUGUGGGACCAAUGUUGAAUCCUUUCAUCUACAGUUUGAGGAACAAGGAUGUCCACAUUGCACUUCAUAAGACUUUGAAGAAAAGCAUGCUUAUCUAG